RNAcentral lists this ribosomal RNA (441 nucleotides) under uncultured bacterium. Its description in RNAcentral is "partial 16S ribosomal RNA". It matches the Rfam family "Bacterial small subunit ribosomal RNA", at positions 338 to 795 of the family's 1533-position model. The record is from RNAcentral.
CCUACGGGUGGCAGCAGUGGGGAAUAUUGCACAAUGGGGGCAACCCUGAUGCAGUGACGCCGCGUGAGGGAAGAAGUAGUUCGGUAUGUAAAGCUCUAUCAGCAGGGAAGAAGCAAGACGGUACCUGACUAGGAAGCGCCGGCUAACUACGUGCCAGCAGCCGCGGUAAUACGUAGGGGGCAAGCGUUAUCCGGAUUUAUUGGGUGUAAAGGGGGUGUAGACGGGAUGGCAAGUCUGAGGUGAAAGCCCAGGGCUUAACCCUGGGAAUGGUUUUGAAAAUGGUAGUCUAGAGUGCUGGAGAGGUAAGUGGAAUUCCUAGUGUAGCGGUGAAAUGCGUAGAUAUAAGGAGGAACACCAGUGGCGAAGGCGGCUUACUGGACAGUAACUGACGUUGAGGCUCGAAAGCGUGGGGAGCAAACAGGAUUAGAUACCCCGGUAGUC